GGAGACUUGGCAGAGUGGUCGAAUGCACCGGUCUUGAAAACCGGCGACCGUUCACGCGGUCCGAGGGUUCGAAUCCCUCAGUCUCCG
Molecule: transfer RNA, 87 nt
Filed under: Thalassobacter sp. 16PALIMAR09
Lineage: Bacteria; Pseudomonadati; Pseudomonadota; Alphaproteobacteria; Rhodobacterales; Roseobacteraceae
Rfam family: tRNA
About the family: Transfer RNA (tRNA) molecules are approximately 80 nucleotides in length. Their secondary structure includes four short double-helical elements and three loops (D, anti-codon, and T loops).
Source: Rfam by way of RNAcentral